Molecule: small nuclear RNA, 104 nt
Organism: Bison bison bison
Lineage: Eukaryota; Metazoa; Chordata; Mammalia; Artiodactyla; Bovidae
Source: Ensembl
AUGCUCUCUUUGGCAGCACAUAUACUAAAAUUGGAACAAUACAGAGAUUAGCACAGCCCCUGCGCAAAGAUGACACACAAAUUCCUGAAGUGUUCCAUAUUUGU